This is a long non-coding RNA of Lathyrus oleraceus (garden pea), 1810 nucleotides long. RefSeq lists it as uncharacterized. The record is from RefSeq and is a predicted model, not a curated record. The transcript is spliced from 2 exons. NCBI's taxonomy places the organism in Eukaryota, Viridiplantae, Streptophyta, Magnoliopsida, Fabales, Fabaceae.
CCCACCUGCUUGGCCCAACACUACAUCCCAAAACCAACGAAAGGGAAGGGAAAGUCUGGAAUAAGCAGAAACGAAACAAAUCGCUUAUCUAAAAAUCUAAUCCACCACGAACAUUUCCUUCGAGCGAAAGUCAAGAUCGCGCCUGUCGUCGUCAUUUCGCGAUCGCGUCUUCAUCACAUCCGCUCAUGGAUUCAUGCUUCUUACAUCGCCGCGUCGCUCUUCAAACUCAAGAUCGAUCGACGAUUUAAUUGUUCACCCAACAUCACGACGGAAAAGCUUCAGCUCUUGCGUUCAUGGAUAGCGCUCAAGAUUCAAUGAUUUGAAGCCAAAAGAUGCAGUAAUUCAACUCAACCGAAUCGAAACAAACAUUGCAAUGUAAAACGAUAUGGGCGUGAAUUGAAGCGAGGACGAAAACUCACUGGUUUGGGAGCGGGUAUGAAUUCUUCUUGAUAAUUCUGAAUACUUUCCCUAUGAUAAAUCGUACGCGGCGGGGAGCUACGUAAGUUUGUUGCAUUUUCUGCGUAUGUUUGCGAGUCGGUGUAUGUGAUGUGUAUCUGCGUAUUAUCGUUGCAGAUCGCAGAGUUGAUGCAGAACUGGUGUGGUGCAAUACCGGUUGAAGAAGGUGGUUUACUGUGAUUGAUUGAUUGAAAUCAAUUCCUUUGAGUCGACACAGAAAUUUAAGAGGUAUAUUGAGGAGUGGAGAUUGAAGAGGAUAAACGGCAAGGAAACACGCUUAUGUAUCAAGACAAAAGCGCUUAAACAAAAAGCUCCAAGCAUCAAUCACCAUGGUAUCGCAUUUGGAAAUACCGGCAUCAUCGUGUUGGCAUCGGAGGAACGCCGCGUACGUCGCAAAUCGGCUUCCAAUCUUUAUCAUCCUCGGGUUCGAUACAAGUGGAAGCGAGAAAAAACAGAUAAAUUGAAAAGGAGAAGUGCUUAUCGAUACGUACUGGAGAGCAAUAGAGGUCCUUGAUUUCACGUUUGCCAAUCGAUGCGGAUGGUAAUCGCUUCUUAAAUCGAUCCGUGCCGGGAUCGCCGUAACUCGACAAAUCAAUACCAACUUCAAAGGUACGAGCUUCUCGAUCUAUUCCAGUUCUUCAAGGCUUCUCUUCUUCUUCUUCAAUAUGUGUUGUGCAUUUUGGUUGCGUGAAGAGUAAUGGAGUUGCAGAGGAUGGAGAUUACUGCAAAAUGAUGCAGAUUGAUGAAGAAAGAGUUGCAGAAUCCUGAAAAGAGAGUCUGCAGAGUGAGAUAAAUGAGGAAGUGCGAAAGUGCAGAAUGAUGAUGAAGCGUGGAAGCAUGGAAUGAAGCAGAAGGAAGAUGGCGGAAUCAAGGAGAUGAAGGUGAGUCUUGGACAAUGAAAGAUGAACCGAAAACUCCCUGAAGAUUGGAGUCUCAAGAGUGAUGAAGAUGAAGAAUGAGCAAUGAAUCCAAAAUCCGAUGAAUACUCCACUCGGGGUCGGAUAAAUGUUGGUUUGCUGUUAGCGUAGGAUUCAAUUUGUUGCUGAAUGAAAACUGCAGGAUGUUAGCUAUGCAGACUGGUUUAUACUGUCAAUUCUGCGAUUGUUAUGUUAAAUGGCUAAACUGGUUUUGCUGUGUUAAUUGUUACAUGAUUAAUUAUUGUUAUAAUUUGACUGAGGCUGGCUGCGGGGUCGUAAAUGCCGGAGCUAUCACGGAGGAGACUGCUAUCACAAAUGACUUUUUUUGUGUUGUCCAUCAGUUGGCUAGGCGUGUUUUGCUACACUUCUGUCAUAAAUUCCAGUUAUCAUUGUUUUCUGUACAUUUUCGGCUGCAAUAAAACCUAAUUAAAAUCAAA